RNAcentral lists this ribosomal RNA (492 nucleotides) under uncultured bacterium. RNAcentral describes it as "partial 16S ribosomal RNA". It matches the Rfam family "Bacterial small subunit ribosomal RNA", at positions 29 to 507 of the family's 1533-position model. The record is from RNAcentral.
AGUGAACGCUGGCGGUAGGCCUAACACAUGCCAGUCGAACGGCAGCACAGUAAGAGCUUGCUCUUACGGGUGGCGAGUGGCGGACGGGUGAGGAAUACAUCGGAAUCUACUUUUUCGUGGGGGAUAACGUAGGGAAACUUACGCUAAUACCGCAUACGACCUACGGGUGAAAGCAGGGGAUCUUCGGACCUUGCGCGAUUGAAUGAGCCGAUGUCGGAUUAGCUAGUUGGCGGGGUAAAGGCCCACCAAGGCGACGAUCCGUAGCUGGACUGAGAGGAUGAUCAGCCACACUGGAACUGAGACACGGUCCAGACUCCUACGGGAGGCAGCAGUGGGGAAUAUUGGACAAUGGGCGCAAGCCUGAUCCAGCCAUACCGCGUGGGUGAAGAAGGCCUUCGGGUUGUAAAGCCCUUUUGUUGGGAAAGAAAAGCAGCAGGUUAAUACCCCGCUGUUCUGACGGUACCCAAAGAAUAAGCACCGGCUAACUUCGUG